CCUACGGGGGGCUGCAGUAAGGAAUAUUGGUCAAUGGACGAAAGUCUGAACCAGCCAUCCCGCGUGCAGGAUGAAAGCCCUAUGGGUUGUAAACUGCUUUUAGCAGAGAAGAAAAGCUUUCAUUAAUGAGAGUCUGACGGUAUCUGCAGAAUAUGCACCGGCUAACUCCGUGCCAGCAGCCGCGGUAAUACGGAGGGUGCGAGCGUUAUCCGGAAUAACUGGGUCGAAAGGGUGCGUUGAAGGAGUAUUAGCAAUCUUGUCGCGUAACGAGAAAAUUGCCAAUGAUACUGGUACUCUUGAAUUGGGUUGAGGUUAGCGGAAUGUGACAUGUAGCGGUGAAAUGCAUAGAUAUGUCAUGGAACACGAAUUGCGAAGGCAGCUAACUGGGCCUUGAUUGACGCUGAGGCACGAAAGCGUGGGUAGCGAACAGGAUUAGAUACCCUUGUAGUC
This 450-nucleotide ribosomal RNA is filed under the name uncultured bacterium. RNAcentral's name for it is "partial 16S ribosomal RNA". It matches the Rfam family "Bacterial small subunit ribosomal RNA", at positions 338 to 795 of the family's 1533-position model. The record is from RNAcentral.